GGUUGUAAACUUCUUUUCUCCAAGGAGGAAGAUCUGACGUUACUGGAGGAAUAAGUAUCGGCUAACCCUGUGCCAGCAGCCGCGGUAAUACAGGGGAUGCAAGUGUUAUCCGGAAUUAUUGGGCGUAAAGCGUCUGCAGGUGGAUAUUUAAGUCUUUUGUUAAAUCUUUAGGCUUACCCUAAAAACUGCAAAAGAAACUAUUUAUCUUGAGUCUAGUAGAGGUCAAGGGAAUUUCCAGUGGAGCGGUGAAAUGCGUAGAUAUUGGAAAGAACACCAACGGCGAAGGCACUUGACUGGGCUAUGACUGACACUCAGAGACGAAAGCUAGGGGAGCAAAUCGGAUUAGAUACCCGAGUAGUCCUAGCCGUAAACGAUGGAUACUAGAUGUUGCUUAUUUUUCGAAAUAAGCAGUGUCGUAGCUAACGCGUUAAGUAUCCCGCCUGAGUAGUAUGCUCGCAAGAGUGAAACUCAAAUGAAUUGACGGAAAAACUCAAAGGAAUUGACGGAAA
RNAcentral lists this ribosomal RNA (509 nucleotides) under uncultured bacterium. RNAcentral's name for it is "bacterial SSU rRNA". It matches the Rfam family "Bacterial small subunit ribosomal RNA", at positions 421 to 941 of the family's 1533-position model. The record is from RNAcentral.